Molecule: ribosomal RNA, 194 nt
Filed under: uncultured Lactobacillus sp.
Lineage: Bacteria; Bacillati; Bacillota; Bacilli; Lactobacillales; Lactobacillaceae
Description: partial 16S ribosomal RNA
Rfam family: Bacterial small subunit ribosomal RNA
Source: RNAcentral
CCUACGGGAGGCAGCAGUAGGGAAUCUUCCACAAUGGACGAAAGUCUGAUGGAGCAACGCCACGUGAGUGAUGAAGGGUUUCGGCUCGUAAAACUCUGUUGUUGGAGAAGAACAGGUGAUAGAGUAACUGUUAUCAUCUUGACGGUAUCCAACCAGAAAGCCACGGCUAACUACGUGCCAGCAGCCGCGGUAAU